Molecule: ribosomal RNA, 253 nt
Filed under: uncultured Planctomycetota bacterium
Lineage: Bacteria; Pseudomonadati; Planctomycetota
Description: uncultured planctomycete partial 16S ribosomal RNA
Rfam family: Bacterial small subunit ribosomal RNA
Source: RNAcentral
GACGAACCGUCCAAACGUUAUUCGGAAUCACUGGGCUUAAAGGGUGCGUAGGCGGCUCGGCAAGUUGGGUGUGAAAGCCCUCGGCUCAACCGAGGAAUUGCGCCCAAAACUGCCGGGCUAGAGGGAGACAGAGGUGAGCGGAACUUAGGGUGGAGCGGUGAAAUGCUUUGAUAUCCUAAGGAACACCGGUAGCGAAAGCGGCUCACUGGGUCUUUUCUGACGCUGAGGCACGAAAGCUAGGGGAGCGAACGGG